This 427-nucleotide ribosomal RNA is filed under the name uncultured bacterium. RNAcentral's name for it is "partial 16S ribosomal RNA". It matches the Rfam family "Bacterial small subunit ribosomal RNA", at positions 355 to 774 of the family's 1533-position model. The record is from RNAcentral.
UGGGGAAUAUUGCACAAUGGGCGCAAGCCUGAUGCAGCCAUGCCGCGUGUAUGAAGAAGGCCUUCGGGUUGUAAAGUACUUUCAGCGGGGAGGAAGGCGUUGUGGUUAAUAACCGCAACGAUUGACGUUACUCGCAGAAGAAGCACCGGCUAACUCCGUGCCAGCAGCCGCGGUAAUACGGAGGGUGCAAGCGUUAAUCGGAAUUACUGGGCGUAAAGCGCACGCAGGCGGUCUGUCAAGUCGGAUGUGAAAUCCCCGGGCUCAACCUGGGAACUGCAUCCGAAACUGGCAGGCUAGAGUCUUGUAGAGGGGGGUAGAAUUCCAGGUGUAGCGGUGAAAUGCGUAGAGAUCUGGAGGAAUACCGGUGGCGAAGGCGGCCCCCUGGACAAAGACUGACGCUCAGGUGCGAAAGCGUGGGGAGCAAACA